UUAUAUGCAACAUUUGGGCGAUUUGCCGCCGUCAUUUUUUGCCGCUCUACCCGCCCUUAAAUCGCCCAGGGAACGCGCCAUUUAAUCGCCCUUAAUUGCCUGAUAUGAAAAUUAAAAAUAAUAAUUAUUUUCGGAUUCACUAUCUACUCACAUAAAUUUAUCGGUACACUAGGUAAUCACCACCAGACUAUAGGAAUAAUCGAUGGUGAAAUUCGUACUGCACACCAAAACUUACCACAAUCUGACUUUCAUUUAGACUCAGAGAUCUUCUUCCACUAUACUUACACACGAUUUCACAAUUUCCACAUUCGUUGGCUGAAUUAAGUGCACAAAACAAACAAAAUACAACCUGGAACGCGCCAAUUGUUUAAAAAAACAAUUCUAAACUUAAGCGAAACAUGAACCGCCAUGUUUGAAAAACGCAAAAAACAACCGAGUCCAUUUCAGCCGCCAGAAAAUUUGUCUAAGUGUUGAAAUUGCCUUUAAAUCGCAUUCGCAAAUUGGGUCAUUAAAUGAGAGAAAAAAAUCAUGUGAUCGAGCACAAUUUUCCCUACGUUGUGACUUUUGCGUAACGUUUCACCAACGACGAAAGAAAUCUCCUUACUCGACGAUGGAAGCGAAAAUACCACGGCAGCGGGAUGGACUAAAUGCACUAACAGCAGUUUGGAUCACACAAAAAGGAAACAGCUGAUCCGUACAACACUGUACAUGCGGAACAGCGGAAAAUGAACCUAACUUUUGGUAGCAACAUAACAGCGUACUAGAUGCCUACAGUGACACUUCGCUUAUCUACUUCAACAUCACCGUCUCCUUGAAAUAACACAUUUCAAAACAAAACAAAACAAUUUCGCAAAUCAUCCAGAUUGGGCCGGUUGUGGGUUGGUGGCCAGCAGCUAAUUGUCGUCGUCGUCUCCUGAUGCAGCAGCGAAAUCCGGCAGCAAGCAGAUUUUAGUGAUCGGACGGCUGAUUGUACCACGAGCAGUGCGCAGCAGUACAACUCUUGCUAGCCCAUCCGGGCCCGGGGAAGUUGACUCAAUUCGAGCAAGUGGCCAACGGAUUGGUGGUUGCAGUUCAUCUACGACGAUAACCAUACGCCCAGGCAAAAUUUGUUCGUUGCGCAAAUGCUUGGUGGUAUCCUUUUGCAGUUCCUGCAAAUAUUCUGAGCGCCAGUGUUUCCAACAUUUUUGAACGUGCAACUGCAGCUGCUGAUAAUGAUCCAGUCGGUUGACCGGAAUGUUGUGGUGAUCUGGGUCGGGCAAGGCGAGGAUGCGGGUGCCGAUAAGAAAAUGGGCCGGCGUGAGAGCAGCAAGAUCGUUAGGAUCAUCAGACAUUGGCAGUAAAGGACGUGAAUUCAUCAUUGAUUCAACCUGCGUGAGCACUGUGCUGAUAUCCUCAAACGAUAGGCGCGAUGGACCCAACUGCCGAAAUAGAUGCUUCUUGGCCACUUUGACUGCUGCUUCCCAUAAUCCGCCGAAAUGAGGUGCCUUCGGUGGAUUUAGAUGCCAAGUGAUUCCUUCCUCUGCACAAUACGAUGAGAUUUUGUCGAUUUCGUUCUGGUUUU
This is a long non-coding RNA of Topomyia yanbarensis, 1561 nucleotides long. RefSeq lists it as uncharacterized. NCBI's taxonomy places the organism in Eukaryota, Metazoa, Arthropoda, Insecta, Diptera, Culicidae. The record is from RefSeq and is a predicted model, not a curated record. The transcript has 3 exons.